Molecule: long non-coding RNA, 401 nt
Organism: Penaeus chinensis
Lineage: Eukaryota; Metazoa; Arthropoda; Malacostraca; Decapoda; Penaeidae
Exons: 3
Source: RefSeq, a predicted model, not a curated record
CAGUCUCGGCCGAGUGCGUGGAGGAGGAGGUCGUGUUUCCUCCUUCGCUCUCUCGCUUCUCCUGCGGCGCUCGAUGCUUGCAAAAGUCGUCGACCUGUUCUGCGUAUUGCGUGGCAGGAGAGAAAUGCCGCCUACUGAACCUCGCCGCGGCCCCCGGAGGUCCUGCCUCGCCCCAGGAAGGUUCGUCAGAGAUGUGUUUCGUCCCCGUAGACCCCUCAGGACCCACGGGCGAGGACCUGGCGCGGGGGAGGCCGGUUGAAGCCCCUGGGACCUGGGAUGACUAUUAUGCGCCUGCGGAGACCGUGGUGAGCGGCGCCAUCUGCGAGGUUCCGGGACAUAGCUGCUACUGCUCCGACUUCGAGUUAACGCCCAUCUUCAAGGUGGACCUCGGGACGUCCAAG